This is a long non-coding RNA of Anolis carolinensis (green anole), 6985 nucleotides long. RefSeq lists it as uncharacterized. The transcript is spliced from 2 exons. The record is from RefSeq and is a predicted model, not a curated record. Lineage: Eukaryota; Metazoa; Chordata; Lepidosauria; Squamata; Anolidae.
AUGCCAAUAAUACUUUCUGAUUUCGUUAUUAAUAUCUUCUGCAAAAUGAAUUUCUGAAGCCUUCUUGCAAAAUAAUUAUGAAACUUCAUAGUUUGAUAAACAUCAGCUUUGUUAAUAAAAGUCACCCCUUAUCCAGAAUUCCCAAUUCAACCACAUGGGUACCAGAAAUAGUGACACCUUUCUGAUGUUCAUAGUACACAAACUUUGCUUCAUGUACAACAUUGUUAAAAAUGAUGGGCAUAAAAGUACCUUCAGGCUAUGUUUAUAAGAUGCAUUAGAAACGUACCUGAAUGUCAUGUUUAGACUUGGGUCUCAUGUCAUAGAUAUCUCCUUAUGUAUAUACAAAUACAUUCUUAAUAUAAUAAACAUAAUCCAUUAAGGCAAACCCUUCUGGUCCCAAGCAUUUUGGAUAAGGGAUACUUUACCUGUGCUAUAACCUAUCCCCCCUUCUGUAAUGUAAAUUGUUAUAAUGGAUGCUGGGUCUCUAUGAGGAAUUUGUAGAUUCAUAUAAUAUUGUUCUGUCAGUUACUGUUAGAUAUAGACACCUGCAUACAGUGCAAAUGUGUCUCAACACUCCUGGUGGUAAUCAAGUGAUGUAAGUUGUAGUAUUGAUUUAUCCUAACAAAUCUCAUGCAGGACAUCAUGAAGACUGGUCUGGUUUGGUUCUGGGUUUUUUAAAGAAUUAUUUUUGAUUCUCUCCAGAUCCUAAAAGUUCCCCCUGAUUAUGCUGAUUCUUUACUCUUGUGUCAGCUCCAAUCCUGAGUUUCUUAUUCGAAGUUGUUGUUAUAGCCUUCUUUUUGGUUUCCAAGAACUGUAGAAGUAAAAUCACAGAGAACCUUAAAUAGGUUGGAAGAUACGUAGUAUAUAUAGAUGCUGUGACCAGUUUGUGAGCUGCAGGUUAAUGUUUUGGUCAUAGGUCUCCUGCCCUAAGAAUGGAGUGUGAUUGGUCCUUUAAUAGCAGGUAUGCAAUGUGUCACUGUAGCCGACUGUAAAUCUAACUACCUUAGAAGAACCUGCCAGAAUUCAAAGUGUGUUGAAUAGUCUUUGGGAGUUUAAGGUCACCUAUACACUACACUAUCUCCAUAAAGGAUCAUGCCUAAAUACACCAGAUAGUCUUAAAGAUGCUGCUGGGUUCUUUAACUCCUCUUCCCCAUUUUUGGCUGAAGUCUCUGAAACUGCAGACUCCGUGGAGGAAAUUUAAAAAUACAAAUCAAGGAAGUGUGAGUUAAAACAACAGAAGGCAUGUUAGGUAGAAAAAGAUGCAGCAGUCAAGAGAAAAUAAAAGCUAUGAAUUAUUGAAAAUCUGCCCUAAAAAGUAACAUUUGAAGGUAUAGACUUUUAUAUUGGGUACCUCAUAAUAGUUUAUUCCAUACUUGGGGCACCCUCUUCCAUUAUGAUUCCAUGCUGGUUAUUUUUUUCCACGGUGAGCAAUCUGUCUUUUGUAGUGUGCAUAUGUCACUUUUGAAGAGAAAAGACUCUAGAGUUAUCAGGAGCUGUGUGAAGGAAUGAUAGCAAAUCUCAUCAGAGGAGGUAGCAGGUGAUUGCAAUCAAUAAUCAAUCAACCUACCGGUGACUCUUCCCAUACAUCACUUUCAACCGAGGUAGCCUUUCCCAGUCCUUUUGAAGGAUAGACAUAAUGUGCAAGUAUAUUUAUGUUUAAGUCCUCUGUAUGGUUCUUCAUGUUUUGGAGAAGGGAAGCGGGAUGAACUUUUCAGCAAUGUUGCCAAGCAAUUCAAAAAGUGACAGCAAAGAGCUGGGGUUGAAUAGAGAACACUGGGCAUCUCAUACACUUUUGCUGGAAUUGGUUUGACAUGGGUCAUUCUUCCAUUAAUGUUAAGCUUAGUAACUCUGGUCCUCUUAGCAAAACAAUUUUGUGUUCAGCCAUUCACAGUUUUUGUUAAGUGUUAUCAUGACCAUGUACACAAGAUAAUGAAAACAUUUAAGGUCACAAUUGUUCAAAUAACUGGACUAGCAAAUCGCCCAGAUUACAUGUUUUUUCCCUUUGUGGGAAACAACAUUUUCAAAUAGGGAUAGGAAGAAUAUUCUAAAACGUUUUUAAAUCAUCUUUUUGUGAGUGUUGGAAAACCUCAUCAAAGAGGAUCAUGGACUGGUGAAAAUCUUAAUGGAGUGUGUCUUAUUUGGACACAAAAUUCACAUUUAAAAAAUAAAACAUGUUCAAAACAAAACAGCAUUGAUCAGUGAAUAAAUGUAUUGGUGUGUAUGUAAGUGUACAGAUGAGAUUCAUUGUAUGUUUUUAAAAGUCUGGGAUAACAAUGUUAACGAUAAAUUGUAUUUGUUACCUGAUUCUCUUCAUGACUUUAGUCAUGGCUUGAAUACUUGUUAACGUAAAUGUAGCUUCAUACCAAGUUAGCACUGAGCAACCUAGAAUCACAGAACUAUAGAAGUGGGAUGGAGCCAAAGGGCACCUGGUCCAAUACCUUUCCAAUGCUAAAAUCCACCUCUAAAAACAGUUCUGGGUAAUGACUAUUUCAAAAGAAAUGAAAGUCCAUCACCUUUUGAUGCAGUCUGUUCCACUGUUGAACAGCACUUAUCAUCAGGAAGCUCUUCCCAAUGCUCAAGGAAGCUUUUUUUUGUUUAACUAAGACAGUCUUAUUUACAUUCACCACCCAUGAUUGAUGUUUCUUCCAGACUUAUUUGUAAAUGCCAGGACCAUUGAAACACAAAGCUUGUGUCCACUAUUGACCUGCGAAUGAUCUAUGGUCCCUCUUCCUCAAAUUGACUUGGACCUGAUGCUGACUGAUUUCACCGUCCUUAACUUUCAGAGGAAGUGUACUCUUCUUAAUAUGUAUUGCAUUUUAUGUGUUGUAUGGCACCUUCGUGUGCUGUUUUUUAAGCCGCCCCGAAUCCCUAUGGGAGAUGGUGGUGGGGUAUAAAUUAGUUGUUGUUGUUUUCCACAAAAGCACAGCAUUUGAAGAGAUCCCAAGGGCCAUCCAACCCCUGCCGUGCAGAAUUCAAAGCCCGUCCGAGAAAUGGCAAUUCCGUUUUCGCUAAAAUACCUCCAAAGAAGGAGAUACCACCACACUCCCAGGCAACAUAUCCCAUUCGCAAACAGCUCAUAUUGUUAAUAAGUUUUUCCUAAGAUUUAGGUGGAACCUCUUUUCUUGCCAUUUGAAUAAAAUUAAUGCAGUUUGGCACCACUUUAAAAGCAAUGGCUCAAUGUUAUGCAAUCCUGGGAGUUGUAGCUUUACAAGGCCUUUAACUUUCUUUACCAAAGAGUGCUGGUGCCUCAGUGAACUACAAAUCCCAGGAUUGCAUAGCAUCAAGCCAUGACAGUGGUGUCAAACUCCAAUCAUAGGAUUGGAAGGGACCACAUCUAUUCCAAUCCUUUGCCUGGCAAGAAUGCACAACUAGAUCCCUCUUGAGAAAUAGUUAUGUAGCUAUACUUUUCACAGAAAUAUGGAAAAACUUGUUAUUUGCAAAACACCUUUUCUACCAAUAUAUCGACAUACAUGGUAUAAAAAACAUUUGUUAUUUGCUUCUCUUCUUUCCUGAAUUGUAAACAAAUUGGCCGCAAUCGGCAAGCUUUUGAUGAGUUUUUUCUACAUUGUUAUAAAAUCAACAAAGCUCCCCUCCCACCUCUGAAUUUGCCUAUGGGCAAAUAGAGAUUUGGAAGCAGUGCCUUCCCUUCUGUUACACAUCUCUUUGGAAUAACAACUCUAGCUCUUCUUCCUUAGAGCUAGAGGAGAAUCCACCUAAAAAAAAAAAGAAAAGAAAAAAAGAACAAGAGUAUGGCAAAGGAUUGCAUCUAAUGCCUUGAUCAUUUACUCUGCUGUUAUUCACUUAUCCCCAUUUUGAAUCACUUUUCCUAAAGGAAGUAUGAAGUAUGAAACUGAUGGAAAAUUAUGAUGGAGCAAGACUGCACACUGUGAAUGAUGUUUGCUGAACUCUGUGCCAAAGGGGAAAAUCACCGAAGUAGCUAAUUUGGCACUGAUUUCCCCUCUGGAGGUCCAUCAGCAUCAUUGAGCUUGUGUGUUUUCAUAUGAAUGUAGUAUUUUUGUUAUGGUUUUCAGUAUGCGAAUGGAAUAUAAUUUGUCAUCAACAUGUUACUAGUAUUAUUUAUUUAUUUCCAUCAUUUCUAUGCCGCCCUUCUCACCCAAAGGGACUCAGGGCAGCUCACAAUCUGGCAAAAUUCAAUGCCGUAUAUAGUACAAAAGAUAAAACAUAGGCAAUUAAAACAAUCAAUUUAGCAUAAUACAAUAAAUACAUUUAAAACAGUACAAUAAAAAUACUUAAACAAUUCGUCCACAAAAACCUUGCACGUAAACCUUAAUCCGGACCGAGUCAAAGCCAACAUAAUUCAUUCAUUAAAUGCUUGUUCACAAAGCCAGGUCUUCACCUUUUUCCUAAAAUUCAGAAGAGAUGGAGCCUGCUGGAUUUCACUGGGGAGGGAGUUCCAUAGCUGAGGAGCUACCACUGAGAAGGCCCUAUCUCUCGUUCCCACCAGCUGCACUUAUGAGGCAGGUGGGACCGAGAGCAGGGCCUCCCCAGACGAUCUUAAAGUUCUCAUAGACUCAUAGGAGGAGAUACGUUUGGAUAAGUAAGUUGGACCGGAACCAUUUAGUAGUUGCUGAGGAAAUCAUAAGAAUCCUCAGACUUAAGAAUUCACAUGCAAUAUUACUGUUUGUUGUUGACAUGUCGUAUGAGGCCUCUGUAUUUGACAGGUUUCAUUACCACCCUAGGCUAACCAACAAUGUAGCACCUUUUUCAGAGCUGGUUGUAUCUCACUAAUGGUUCAUACAUUUUCCACAAGUUUGCGCCCCAGUUCUUGUAGAUUAGGUGGAAAGAGUCUAGUCUUACAUCUGGCAAAUCUGUGGAGCAUCUUGUCCAUUCAGAACUGGGAUAAGUAGGUUCUGAUAUACACUUCAUGGAGUUCACUCGGUCAUCCUGAGCCAAAAACAAUCUCUUGGCUUCUCCCUGUUAAAAAUGUUCAUCCUGAUAGAAAAGCUGUCUGUAGUUGUAGAUGAUUGUGCCAUUCAAAGUUUUACUAUAUACAUUGAAGGAACUAUCUACAUUCUGGAAUAUAUCCCAACGAGAAGUUCUGCAUUGUGGACAGAUCUUUUUAAACUAUCCAAAGCUUGGUUUGGUUUUACUGUUCCACUGACAUAGGACCUAUCAGCAUUCUGUUCAGUGCUGUCUGCUUCUGGGAAGAAGGGCGAGAUAAAAACUUAAUUUCUAUGCCAGACACAUACCUUUCUUCCUCUCAUCUGUUUUAAGCAGAAGAUCAGUGAUCCUAAUUACAGGGUUUCAAGAGUUUAUAGAGUCAUCUCGAUGCUAGUACUAGAAUUCGGGCAGGCUGAAGUAUGUAGCGUUCAUUAAAUUCACUCUGUUGCCUACAUGGUGUUUUAACAUUUUGUAUUAUCUGCUUAGUAUUCAUGCCAAACUGCUGCUAGAAAGAACCAAGGCAAAAAUGCCUUCCACUAAAUUGCAGCCUGACAUUGGACUCAGAAGCAGUUUCUUUAUCCGUAAUCUCCCAUUUCCAUGAGUAGUGGCUGUUUAUGAAUUCAGGUAUGAACUUCAUUGGUAAUUUAUUGUUUGCCAUUUGAUUUGAUGUUGAUUAAAGCGGUAGUAUAACUCUUUAAAGGAAAUAAGUAUUCUAUUUGUAGAAUCAAUCAUAGAAUCAAUUAGUUGAGCCUUGGAAGAGGUCUCCCAUCCACCCUCCCAACAUUACUGAAACAGAACUUUUCACUGGCCAAUUUUUGAAAAAAAAUAUGCAUUGAUACUUUGAUUUAGAUUUGGUGCACCUUUCUUCCGCUUUGAAAGCUGCUCAAUUGAAUACUUAGCAAUAUUUCAUGAAUCAAAAGUAGAAAAGUCUGCAACACCCUUAAUUUUGUAUUUAUGAUUAUUUAUGUCUCUUUUUCUACUUCCAAAUUACACAUUAUUUCAGAAUGCCAUUUUUUCCCCAGGUAUGGAAAUCGUAUGUUAUAGUUGAGCCUUAUGGCUCCGAUACUGGGAGACGUGGUCGUAAGACUCCUCGGGAGUCAGAUACUCUCGAGGAGCGAGAAAGGAAGCGGCUGCGGGACUUAUUUGCAGAACCAUCUGACGAGGAUUCCUUUGAGGGUUUUACUGAGAGAAUGGAGGAAGAGAUGGUUAGCUCAGAGGAGGAUGACAUGGAAUGGACUCGUGUGAGGGAGGAUUUGGGUGUCACAGGCAAUGAUAGUAUGGAAGGCGAUUGGGGACCUUCAGGAUUAGACCCGUGGACAAGCUGGAGGGAUGGGACGGGAUCCACAGCUGGGGAUGCUGUGGGGCGUAGUCAAAGGUGUUUCAGUUCUGAUGAGGAAAGUGAUGAGGAAACGCCUGGAAUUAGGGUAACAGCUGAUAGCGAUGAGGAGCUGUAAACUGGCAUAAAAUGGGGUUUGGAAGCAAUGGCUAAUUGCGUUGGGCAAGGUAAUCUGGACGAACGCUUGGGCUCUGUGUGGGAAAUUCCUGAAGACGGGUGUGAUUCGUUUGCUGACUACCUUGGACCUCCGUCGUCUUCUUGACGGACGCCAUCUGUUUAUUCUGGACUGACUGACUGACUGACUGACUACGGCCUCGGACUCUCCUUCCUGUGAUUAUCGUUGGACCUGGUGAACUACAAACAUCUGUACCUGCCUUACGACCUUCGGACCGGAUUGGAACUUCGCUGACCGCUUCUGCCCUUGAAUGCUGCGUUUGUAUCUGGAAAUUGCUUGCUGUGUGGAGGAGUAACCUCUUAGUUACUCAAACAUAGCUUUUGGCAGCAGAGAAGCAUCUGCUGCCAGUUUUUGUAUUCCUUUGAACCUUUUGUUCACCAGCUUUUGUUUGUUUAAGUCCCAGGCUGAAGUAAGCUUUUUUGGUUUAACCCGGAUUAAACUCCGGUUUAAUCCAGUUUAUCUUUUGAACGUUUUCCUUGUGUCUUUUUACUUUUAAGGCCAAUGUUUGCCUAGCCCUUGUCUUUUACGGGCAUUUUUGGUUCUGUAACUCCAAUAAACUUUGUUAUAUCUUA